Molecule: transfer RNA, 29 nt
Filed under: Rhinella sp. 9 MP-2021
Lineage: Eukaryota; Metazoa; Chordata; Amphibia; Anura; Bufonidae
Description: partial tRNA-Ile
Source: RNAcentral
GGAAGCGUGCCUGAAAGUUAAGGUCCUCC